Molecule: non-coding RNA, 1043 nt
Organism: Paramormyrops kingsleyae
Lineage: Eukaryota; Metazoa; Chordata; Actinopteri; Osteoglossiformes; Mormyridae
Source: RefSeq, a predicted model, not a curated record
ACUUGAGAAUGGCAGCCAAUAAGGAGCAGAGUUUCCCCUCCGUCUCAGCCUCCCUGCCACUGAAAGUGAUGCUGCGGGACACAGAGGGGAGGAGGGAGGGAGGCAGGGGGUUAGAGAGAUACAGAGGGAGAUAGAAAGAGGGAGUGAAUGAGAGAGAGAGAGAGAGAGAGAGAGAGAGAGAGAGAGACGCAGCUGGGCAGGGGACUGCAAGCCACAGAGGUUAUGCAGCAGUGAAGGACUCCGUACCGCUCCGCACCUCUCAGCGUUUAAGGAGAGUCUCCCAGCUGGACACCGUCAAUCCCACACCCCACCAUUAGGUGUCAUCCAAUGACACUUUCCAACAUGAACCGGCGGAGCCAGGUGGUGAUCCAGGCCAAGGACACGGCAGGGCAGAUGCGGGCGGGUUCCCCGAAUCACCAUGGCCAUCAUCAUGUUGUUGGAUGUCAAUGACAGCCCCCCCCCCCCCGGUUCCCUCAGGUUACAUGAGAAGGCCGCAAGUGAAGUGAGCUGGGAGAAAGUGAGACCUUAUGUGGAGGUCAGAUACCAACAGAAGGGAUGCCACAGCUGGCAGGAGCUGACCCAGACCACUCCUCUCUCUAGAUGACAGGGAGGCAGAUGCCAGGGGUAUGUGGCUCCCGAUUGGCCGCCAUGCACAAGUUCCUGAUUGAAAGAGGAGGAAGGGGAAAGGAGUCAAAAGAAGAGUGUAAAGAAGGGACCAAUGAGGAGUGCACUGGAGAUGGAUGGAGAGAAGCUCUGUCUCUCCAUGGCUCCAUUCAAAUCCCACCAAGUGACAUUAUGGAUGCCAAUGAAUAUUGUAUGACAAGGGGCUUUUCACCCUGUUUCACACAGAUCCUGUAAAAAAAACACCAUAUUUGUUUUAUUUGCCCACUUUGGUAUUAAUUUUAAGCAAUGUUUUUCUGUGUAUGUUUGUAUAUUUACCCGUUGUGUACAUGGGACUUUCAGGAAACAUAAAGCAUAUACACUCACCUAAAGGAUUAUUAGGAACACCAUACUAAUACGGUGUUUGACCCCCUUUCGCCUUA